GCUGGGCAUGGUGGCGUAUGCCUGUAAUCUCAGUGGCUCAGGAGGCUGAGGCAGGAGGAUCAUGAGUUCAAAGCCAGCUUCAGCAUAAGCAAGGUGCUAAGCAACUCAGUGAGACCCUGUCUCUA
This 125-nucleotide small RNA is filed under the name Marmota monax (woodchuck). Lineage: Eukaryota; Metazoa; Chordata; Mammalia; Rodentia; Sciuridae. The record is from RNAcentral.